This 451-nucleotide ribosomal RNA is filed under the name uncultured bacterium. Its description in RNAcentral is "partial 16S ribosomal RNA". It matches the Rfam family "Bacterial small subunit ribosomal RNA", at positions 354 to 796 of the family's 1533-position model. The record is from RNAcentral.
GUGGGGAAUAUUGGACAAUGGGGGGAACCCUGAUCCAGCCAUGCCGCGUGUGUGAAGAAGGCCUUUUGGUUGUAAAGCACUUUAAGCGAGGAGGAGGCUACCGAGAUUAAUACUCUUGGAUAGUGGACGUUACUCGCAGAAUAAGCACCGGCUAACUCUGUGCCAGCAGCCGCGGUAAUACAGAGGGUGCAAGCGUUAAUCGGAUUUACUGGGCGUAAAGCGCGCGUAGGUGGCCAAUUAAGUCAAAUGUGAAAUCCCCGAGCUUAACUUGGGAAUUGCAUUCGAUACUGGUUGGCUAGAGUAUGGGAGAGGAUGGGAGAAUUCCAGGUGUAGCGGUGAAAUGCGUAGAGAUCUGGAGGAAUACCGAUGGCGAAGGCAGCCAUCUGGCCUAAUACUGACACUGAGGUGCGAAAGCAUGGGGAGCAAACAGGAUUAGAAACCCGUGUAGUCC